UACGAAGGUUGCAAGCGUUUCCCGGAAUUAUUGGGCGUAAAGCGUCUGUAAGUGGUUAGGUAAGUCAAUUGUUAAAUCACAGGGCCCAACCCUGUGGCUGCGGUUGAUACUGUCAGACUUGAGGGUGGUAGAGGUAGCUGGAAUUCCCGGUGUAGCAGUGAAAUGUGUUGAUAUCGGGAAGAACGCCAUUUGCGAAAGCUAGCUACUGGUCCAUCUCUGACACCCAGAGACGAAAGCGUGGGGAGCGAACGGG
This 253-nucleotide ribosomal RNA is filed under the name uncultured bacterium. RNAcentral's name for it is "partial 16S ribosomal RNA". It matches the Rfam family "Bacterial small subunit ribosomal RNA", at positions 524 to 776 of the family's 1533-position model. The record is from RNAcentral.